AUACUAAAGUAGUAAUAGUUAUAGUCUUGAAACUUAAAGAAUUUGGCGGUAUUUUAAUCUUUUCAGAGGAACUUGUUCUGUAAUCGAUAAUCCUCGUUUAAUUUUACUAAGUAAUUUGUAUAUCGUUGUUAUAAGAAUAAAUUUUCUAAAAUUUUAAUUAAAAUUUAUAUCAAAUCAAGGUGCAGUUUAUAAUUUAGUAGAAAUGAGUUACAAUAAAAUUAUUUAGGAUUUUAAUGAAGGUGGAUUUGAAAGUAAAUUAAUUUUAAAAAAUUUAAUUGAUGAUAGUUCUAAAAUAUGC
This 298-nucleotide ribosomal RNA is filed under the name Phthiropsylla agenoris. RNAcentral describes it as "partial 12S ribosomal RNA". Lineage: Eukaryota; Metazoa; Arthropoda; Insecta; Siphonaptera; Malacopsyllidae. The record is from RNAcentral.